This 86-nucleotide transfer RNA is filed under the name Candidatus Tectimicrobiota bacterium. Its description in RNAcentral is "Candidatus Tectomicrobia bacterium tRNA-Ser". It matches the Rfam family "tRNA". From Rfam's summary of the family: Transfer RNA (tRNA) molecules are approximately 80 nucleotides in length. The record is from RNAcentral. RNAcentral also lists the same sequence under 1 other name. Lineage: Bacteria; Pseudomonadati; Candidatus Tectimicrobiota.
GGAGAGAUGGCCGAGUGGUCGAAGGCGGUUGAUUCGAAAUCAACUGUGCCCUUGUGGCACCGGGGGUUCGAAUCCCUCUCUCUCCG